This 712-nucleotide long non-coding RNA is filed under the name Homo sapiens (human). RNAcentral describes it as "non-protein coding lnc-ACBD6-3:3". The record is from RNAcentral. Lineage: Eukaryota; Metazoa; Chordata; Mammalia; Primates; Hominidae.
AUCCUUUCGCGGUCCGCCGAGGCCUCGGAGCAGCGCGACCCGGGUUCCCGCCUCAGGCCCCAGGAGGCGAGGUGUACAGUCCGGUAAAGGAAUGGAGCGCCCGCCGAGCGGUCGCUGCGGGGGUAGCCUCGCGGAGGUUGUUUGGCCUCUCACGGCCCCCGUAUCCAACGGAAGAGGAGUCCGUUGGAAUAGACGACCCGGAUUUCGGCUGUUGUAGGGCAGUUCCUGGGCUCCCGCGGAGCGAUGAGACGUUGUGAAUUAGAUGUGAGAAGAGGGACGCUUGGUCUGCGACCACCAAGACCCCACAGGAUCGAUGCACCCACCCCUGCUGAUGACCAUGACCAUCUAAAGGGGAACAUCAUUUGAGGGGCCCUACUCAUGGAUCAGAAGCCCCUCUUCACUGUGGGGUGUGCUGGGUUGGCGGGCAGUUGCCGUGGAAUCAGUUUCCUCAGGACCCAUAUCUGACCACCCUCAUAAGGUUGUCAGGGCGAUUCCAACAUUCGGGGUUCCCAGCAGCCCAGAUCCCCCACAUCCAGCUCUUCAGCCUACUCAGAGCUCUCCACGCUCACUCACAUGUCCCUCUCGCAAGUAGCCCGAUCAACUCACCUGGUGUCAUGGGCACUAAGGUGUUAAUGGAUUUUCUCUGGUCACCUUUGCAGCUCCACUGUUUUGAGAUGUGGUGGUCUGGCUGGCGACUGAGGGUGUCCACUCA